Priapulus caudatus is the source of this 425-nucleotide long non-coding RNA. RefSeq lists it as uncharacterized. Lineage: Eukaryota; Metazoa; Priapulida; Priapulimorpha; Priapulimorphida; Priapulidae. The transcript has 2 exons. The record is from RefSeq and is a predicted model, not a curated record.
GGGCCUCGCAACUAUGGUGGAUACGGGCGCAACUAUGGUGGAUACGGCCGCAACUAUGGUGGAUACGGCCGCAACUAUGGUGGACACGGCCGCUAUGGUGGACAGGGUUACAGAGGAAGUUAUUACGGCUAGAAGAUUUGAUAUCGACACUAUACGUAGAUGCUCGAGUACAGACAUGACUCAUGGAAUUCCGUUCAAAAUAGAGAAUGCUGAUGAUAGUGUAAAUAUUUUACAAUUUUACCGUCAUUCCAUAAGCAAUAUAUAGUAAGCGCUGAGAACAAAAUGUUCACAUCUCACCCCCAUAUCGGGACAAAGCGUGAAAUUCUACCAAUAAUUUGUAGAAUUUAUAUAAAUACCUGAAUGUAGAAUUAGCUUAAUAUAAACAUUGGCUCAAAUAAAUUCCUAAAACGUUUAUCGAAAAGCAA